This 446-nucleotide ribosomal RNA is filed under the name uncultured bacterium. Its description in RNAcentral is "partial 16S ribosomal RNA". It matches the Rfam family "Bacterial small subunit ribosomal RNA", at positions 338 to 795 of the family's 1533-position model. The record is from RNAcentral.
CCUACGGGGGGCUGCAGUCGAGAAUCAUUCACAAUGGGGGAAACCCUGAUGGUGCGACGCCGCGUGGGGGAAUGAAGGUCUUCGGAUUGUAAACCCCUGUCAUGUGGGAGCAAAUUAAGAAGAUAGUACCACAAGAGGAAGAGACGGCUAACUCUGUGCCAGCAGCUGCGGUAAUACAGCGGUCUCAAGCGUUGUUCGGAAUCACUGGGCGUAAAGCGUGCGUAGGCUGUUUCGUAAGUCGUGUGUGAAAGGCGCGGGCUCAACCCGCGGACGGCACAUGAUACUGCGAGACUAGAGUAAGGGAGGGGGAACCGGAAUUCUCGGUGUAGCAGUGAAAUGCGUAGAUAUCGAGAGGAACACUCGUGGCGAAGGCGGGUUCCUGGACAUUAACUGACGCUGAGGCACGAAGGCCAGGGGAGCGAAAGGGAUUAGAUACCCGAGUAGUC